GGCCUAUUAGCUCAGUUGGUUAGAGCGUCGUGCUAAUAACGCGAAGGUCACAGGUUCAAAACCUGUAUAGGCCA
Transfer RNA from Brassica oleracea var. oleracea, 74 nucleotides. It matches the Rfam family "tRNA". Rfam says of the family: Transfer RNA (tRNA) molecules are approximately 80 nucleotides in length. Their secondary structure includes four short double-helical elements and three loops (D, anti-codon, and T loops). Lineage: Eukaryota; Viridiplantae; Streptophyta; Magnoliopsida; Brassicales; Brassicaceae. The record is from Rfam.